UGUUUUAUAUGUAUUUUUGUGUGUUUCUUUCGAUUGGAACGAAAGGUUGGAUUUUGUCGUGAAUCCGUGGUCGAUCGAGACGAAACAAAAUCGCAGCUUUGUUGUCUCUGUCGUGCUGAUCGCACUAGUGUGAUCCGUUUGCGAAUCUGACGGACGAAUCUGCAGAGAUCGCGCAUUGAUCGGGGAGAGGUUGGUAGUGGCAAAACGGUAUUUUCGCAAAAGUCGCGAUAUUUUAUGUACCGUUUCACGAGGGAUCGCACGUGGAGGGGCGUUCAUGCGUUUUAGUCGUACCGUGAGGGACUCGGAUUGUAAUUCUGAUGUUUGGGGGACCUUUUUGCAUGUUACACCUUACUUACAUAGGCUUUUUAGGGUUUUUACCUAGCUAACGUAACCCUAGCCUUGCCCUAGCUCCCUAGCCGCCUCCCCCACGUUCCCCUGCUCUCCCCGCGCGCGCCCUGGCCACCUGAGCUCGCCGCCGGCCGCCGGAGCUGGCUGCUCCAUCCAUUCUCCAUCUUCUUCCCUCUUUUUCUCUCUCCCUCUCUCCUCUCGGGUUGAGUGUAGGCCCGGGGCUGCGCCUCCUGCAGACCCUCCCCCUGGAUUUCACCGUGCCCUGGCAACCUUCCCUGCCGACCGCCGCCGUCGCCGGGCGCCGCCGCUGCUGCUCCUGCGGUCUGCUGCAACCCAGGCCGAGCCUGGCCGAGCGGGGUUGCAGCUGCUGCCAGCGCGCCGCCACCGCCUGGAAACCCUCCCGCCGACAUCCCCCGUGCCCGGGCGCCCCUUCCCGCCGGUCGCCGCCGCCCCGACGCG
RNAcentral lists this long non-coding RNA (807 nucleotides) under Ananas comosus (pineapple). Its description in RNAcentral is "long non-coding RNA (ACOM_LNC035569)". The record is from RNAcentral. Lineage: Eukaryota; Viridiplantae; Streptophyta; Magnoliopsida; Poales; Bromeliaceae.